UCUUCACUGGGCUGCAUUUUGGAUCAUGUAAUGGAAUGAUACCUGAUUGCCCCAAGAAAAGACCCCUGCACGCUGGAAAAAUGACACAUCAGACUCAAGACCCUCCUUGCAGAAUUUGGAGGAGAAUUUUCAUUCAAGUGAUUACCCCUCAAACAAGGUACUUGCUGAAGCAGAUUAGUCUCUAGUGAGGUUAAAAGAUACACCUGCUUAACAACAAAGCAGAACUUGAUCAUCUUAAUAAAAAAUGAAAAGGCAAUAGAAGACAGGUUGACCUGAUUGACUACUUCCAUGUAAAUACUCUCAUUAUGUGCACUAGAAGACAACUAUAAAGCAACAGAAGGAGAUAAAAUGACCUUUUUCAGAUGAAGCUUAGAAAAAGAUGAGAAGUCAGCAUGAUUAUGCAAAGGAUACAAGGUAUGUCCUAGUGCUACUUUUCACUACCAGCUGACUGGUUGUAUGAGGAGACAUGAUAUGGCAGGCUGAGCAGGCAGGCAAGGAUGUUUGCGCAGCCUCCAGUUUCAGAACAUAAGAAUGACCGUAUCAGAGAAGGCCAGAUGUCUAUUUUCUCAGCCUCUACUAAUCUACACCUUUAAGAUUUCCAGAUGCAAAGCCACUAUUUUUGUGUUCAAGCUCUCAGGGAGUGUGAGGGUCCAUUGAGUGGGUAAUGAACAGCCUGGGAAAAAAUUAUCCCUCCUCCAAAGGAUCAGCAAAGAGGAAGAGUUGAUGAUAAUGGUCCUGAGAAGUGAGGGAGUUGUGCAUGGAUCACUUCCCAGGACUUAAAGGCUGGCUGUGCACUCUGCACCCAGGAAAUGAGCUUAAUCAACACUUGCUCAUAAGGACAGUGAAAAGAUCCUCAUGAUGAUGGUGAGACUGGGGCUCUUUGCUGUUUGUUUUCUGAGGCAAGCAGUUGAGCAUCAACACCCAAGCAAUAUGGUGAGUGGCUGUCUCCACAAGACUGUGUCUGAAAUUGGUGGGAGAAUUACUCCUCCAAGGAAUGAGGACUUGGGCCUUGUGUUGUUUGAUACAAAACUGGCUUGCCAGUCAGCCAAGGGACAGAAGCAAGGCAAAGAAAGUGACAACACUGCAUCAAAACUGUGGGUGACAUUCUUAUGGUAGAAACUUCAAGUGGUGUGGAAUGUGGUCUGUGGGACCUUUUCUCUUGGUGAGAAAAUGAAUGAACUUUACAGCUAGAAGUUUGGUGGUAAAGUAAAUGGUGGUGUAUGAGAUAUUUGAGGCUUAGUAGCCUGUCCAGCAGUUUUGAACAAGCCGGAAAACAUCUUUGUAAAUUCAAUUUGACCAACACAGUUUAGCUCUAAUUGUUUUAUCUGUGCAAGCAAACAGGUUCAUCAUUUUUGAAAAAAUGGAGUGACAUUGCCUGUGGCUGGAUAAGGGAUAUCUCAUGUUAAAUAUCAGUAGUCAAACUUUGCUUUUUAGAAGUUCUUUCAUUUUUGUCUGGUGCAUUUUCAAUUGACACAGCAGAAGUUAUUGCAGUGUUCUAUGUAUAACAAACCAGUGUAUGUGAUUAAGGAGCUUUUAUGUGGUAGGCUAAAAAUCAAGUUGGGAAAUAGAACAAGGACUUCAGCAAUGAUGUGGCAUCUGUAAUAGGAAGUACUCUUCAAAGAGGGGAAUUUGUAUCAGUAUGCCAGUGAAAGGAUCAGAGCUCUCCUAUGGUCCUGCAGAUCCUUGUAAGGAUUGCAGUCAGGUGUUCAGUUUAAUAAUCAACGGUAGUUUAAUUAACUAAAGAUCAGUUAUUUAGCUGUUGGAAUGAUUGUCUCUCAGUGUGUCUGGCUUUGUGAUAACAAGGUGUGCUUGGGGAGGUCUUGACUUUUAAUGUAUACAAAAUGUGGGGUAUUUUUCUUUAAAUAUCUUCUAAACAUAGAAAAUAAGGGAGUGUUAACUGAUAGAAACAUAAAGGGUGACUUUCUGAGCAUACUACUCUGGUUCUCUGGUACCACAAGGGGGAC
Molecule: long non-coding RNA, 1964 nt
Organism: Pezoporus occidentalis (night parrot)
Lineage: Eukaryota; Metazoa; Chordata; Aves; Psittaciformes; Psittacidae
Exons: 3
Source: RefSeq, a predicted model, not a curated record